RNAcentral lists this ribosomal RNA (497 nucleotides) under uncultured bacterium. Its description in RNAcentral is "partial 16S ribosomal RNA". It matches the Rfam family "Bacterial small subunit ribosomal RNA", at positions 28 to 507 of the family's 1533-position model. The record is from RNAcentral.
GAUGAACGCUGGCGGCGUGCCUAAUACAUGCAAGUCGAGCGAACGGACGAGAAGCUUGCUUCUCUGAUGUUAGCGGCGGACGGGUGAGUAACACGUGGAUAACCUACCUAUAAGACUGGGAUAACUUCGGGAAACCGGAGCUAAUACCGGAUAAUAUUUUGAACCGCAUGGUUCAAAAGUGAAAGACGGUCUUGCUGUCACUUAUAGAUGGAUCCGCGCUGCAUUAGCUAGUUGGUAAGGUAACGGCUUACCAAGGCAACGAUGCAUAGCCGACCUGAGAGGGUGAUCGGCCACACUGGAACUGAGACACGGUCCAGACUCCUACGGGAGGCAGCAGUAGGGAAUCUUCCGCAAAGGGCGAAAGCCUGAUGGAGCAACGCCGCGUGAGUGAUGAAGGUCUUCGGAUCGUAAAACUCUGUUAUUAGGGAAGAACAUAUGUGUAAGUAACUGUGCACAUCUUGUCGGUACCUAAUCAGAAAGCCACGGCUAACUACGUG